GACUAACGCUGGCGGCGUGCCUAACACAUGCAAGUCGAACGAAGCAGCAAUGCUUAGUGGCAGACGGGUGAGUAACGCGUAGAUAAUGUGCCCUCUUGCGGGGGAUACCGUUUCGAAAGGAACGUUAAUACCGCAUAAAGUCCUUGGGAGGCAUCUCCUAGGGACCAAACUUCCGGGGCGGGAGGAGCAAUCUGCGUACUAUCAGGUAGUUGGUGAGGUAACGGCUCACCAAGCCUACGACGGUUAACUGGUCUGAGAGGAUGAUCAGUCACACUGGAACUGAGACACGGUCCAGACUCCUACGGGAGGCAGCAGUGAGGAAUAUUGCACAAUGGGCGAAAGCCUGAUGCAGCGACGCCGCGUGGAGGAUGAAGGAUUUCGGUCUGUAAACUCCUGUCAGUAGGGAAGAGAAUGGACGGUACCUACUGAGGAAGCUUCGGCUAACUACGUGCCAGCAGCCGCGGUAA
RNAcentral lists this ribosomal RNA (467 nucleotides) under uncultured bacterium. Its description in RNAcentral is "bacterial SSU rRNA". It matches the Rfam family "Bacterial small subunit ribosomal RNA", at positions 28 to 523 of the family's 1533-position model. The record is from RNAcentral.